This 496-nucleotide ribosomal RNA is filed under the name uncultured bacterium. Its description in RNAcentral is "partial 16S ribosomal RNA". It matches the Rfam family "Bacterial small subunit ribosomal RNA", at positions 30 to 523 of the family's 1533-position model. The record is from RNAcentral.
AUUGAACGCUGGCGGAAUGCUUUACACAUGCAAGUCGAACGGUAGAGGGGGCAACCCCUCGAGAGUGGCGAACGGGUGAGUAAUAUAUCGGAACGUGCCCAGUCGUGGGGGAUAACGUAGCGAAAGUUACGCUAAUACCGCAUACGAUCUAAGGAUGAAAGCGGGGGAUCGCAAGACCUCGCGCGAUUGGAGCGGCCGAUAUCAGAUUAGGUAGUUGGUGGGGUAAAGGCUCACCAAGCCAACGAUCUGUAGGUGGUCUGAGAGGACGACCAGCCACACUGGAACUGAGGCACGGUCCAGACUCCUACGGGAGGCAGCAGUGGGGAAUUUUGGACAAUGGACGCAAGUCUGAUCCAGCCAUUCCGCGUGCAGGAUGAAGGCCCUCGGGUUGUAAACUGCUUUUGUACGGAACGAAAAGGUCUCUCUUAAUACGGGGGGCUCAUGACGGUACCGUAAGAAUAAGCACCGGCUAACUACGUGCCAGCAGCCGCCGUAA